This is an RNA transcript of Amborella trichopoda, 4609 nucleotides long. It is a transcript of the gene named coatomer subunit alpha-1, with no coding region annotated. NCBI's taxonomy places the organism in Eukaryota, Viridiplantae, Streptophyta, Magnoliopsida, Amborellales, Amborellaceae. The record is from RefSeq and is a predicted model, not a curated record.
CUGCCUAGUGACACCUCAAUCGCAACUCCAAAUAUGCAUCUGCUCCGUGUUCAUUUCUCCAUCUUAACCUCCCUCUUCUGAAUUUCGAUCUCCCUCUCUCUCUCUCAAAAUUUUCUCUCUAUAUUCGCUACCUCUCUCUCUCUACAAAUUAAUGGCAGAGCAGAGACUUUGAUCAGACCCAUUUGUCUCAGAUCUGAGGUCAGGUGCCUUGUUACCAUUUGUUCUCCUUCCCUUCCCUUCGCUUCCCAUUGGAGCGUAGUUCCAGAUCCAGGUUCCUGCAUUUUCAUUUUAAGUCUCUUGAUGGUCUUGAUGAAGAGAGAGGGGGAGGAGUGAUUCUCUGUGGACGUUUUAGAGAGAGGGAGACUACUUUGGUUGGGGAUUUUAGGUUGAGAGUGAGAGAGGAUAAUGCUGAUAAAGUUCGAGACCAAGAGCAACAGGGUGAAGGGGUUGAGUUUCCAUGGAAAACGGCCAUGGAUCUUGGCUAGCCUUCACACGGGUGUUAUUCAGCUAUGGGACUACCGUAUGGGCACUCUCAUUGAUCGAUUCGAGGAGCAUGAUGGCCCUGUUCGAGGUGUCCACUUCCACAAUUCUCAGCCAUUGUUUGUUUCUGGAGGAGAUGAUUACAAAAUCAAAGUCUGGAAUUAUAAGCUACGCCGAUGCCUCUUCACCCUUCUUGGGCACCUUGAUUACAUCCGUACAGUUAACUUCCACCAUGAGUACCCAUGGAUUGUUAGUGCCAGUGAUGAUCAAACCAUAAGAAUAUGGAACUGGCAGUCAAGAACCUGUAUUUCUGUGCUAACGGGCCACAACCACUAUGUGAUGUGUGCUUCUUUCCAUCCUAAGGAGGACUUGGUGGCGUCAGCCUCCUUGGAUCAGACAGUUAGGGUGUGGGACAUUGGUGCUCUUAGGAAGAAGACUGUUUCACCAGCUGAUGACAUUUUGAGGCUCACCCAAAUGAAUACUGAUCUAUUUGGAGGUGGUGAUGCUGUUGUGAAAUAUGUGUUGGAGGGUCACGAUCGUGGAGUAAACUGGGCAGCAUUUCACCCCACAUUGCCCCUGAUUGUUUCAGGAGCUGAUGAUCGACAAGUUAAGCUUUGGCGAAUGAAUGACACCAAGGCCUGGGAAGUGGACACCUUGAAGGGACACGCGAAUAAUGUGUCUUGUGUUAUGUUUGUUGCAAAGCACGACAUCAUUGUAUCGAAUUCGGAAGACAAAAAUAUCCGUGUUUGGGAUGCAUCAAGACGGGUAGUUUUAAUGACUUUCCGUAGAGAGCAUGAUCGUUUCUGGGUUCUUGCUGCACAUCCCUCUAUGAAUCUUUUGGCAGCUGGUCAUGAUAGUGGCAUGCUUGUCUUUAAGCUAGAGAGAGAACGACCUGCCUUUGCAUAUAGCAGUGACUCCUUGUACUAUGUGAAAGACCGAUUUUUACGCUGCUUUAAUCCUACCUCUCAAAAAGAUGACCAACUCAUGACUAUCAAAAGAUCGGGCAAUUUUAACUUGAAUCAAGCACCAAGAUCUCUCUCUUACAGCCCCACUGAGAAUAUAGUCUUGCUCUGUUCAGAUGUAGACGGUGGCUCAUAUGAGCUCUUUACUGUCCCCAAAGAAAUUAUGGGAAAGAAUGAUCCUCCCCCAGAAUCAAAAAGAGGGUCUGGUGCAUUUGCCAUCUUUGUGGCACGUAACCGCUUUGCUGUUCUCGACAAGGUGAACAACCAAAUAGUGGUUAAGAACCUGAGAAAUGAAGUGGUAAAGAAAAACAGCCUUCCGGUUGCUGUUGAUACUAUAUUUCCAGCUGCAACUGGCAAUGUGCUAUGCAGAGCAGAGGACAAGGUGUUCUUAUUUGAUCUACAACAGAGGACUACUCUAGGAAAUCUUCACAUCCCUUCAGUAAAGUAUGUUUCCUGGUCAAAUGAGAUGGAAUAUGUUGCAUUGCUUAGCAAACAUACAAUUACUAUUGCGAGUAGGAGCCUUGUGCAUCAAUGUAGUUGUCAUGAAACUAUUCGCAUUAAGAGUGGUGCUUGGGAUGACAAUGGUGUGUUCAUAUACACGACCCUGAGUCACAUCAAGUAUUGCCUUCCUAAUGGAGACAAUGGCAUUAUCCGAACCCUUGAUGAGCCGGUCUAUGUUGUAAGGGUUUUUGGUAACUCGGUUCUUUGCAUGAGCCGAGAUGGGAGUUGCACCACAUUGGGAAUCGAUUCCACAGAGUAUCUUUUCAAGCUAUCUCUGAUUAAAAAGAGAUAUGAUCAAGUCAUGAGCAUGAUUAAGAACUCACAGCUUUGUGGGCAGGCAAUGAUUGGGUACCUUCACCAGAAAGGCUUCCCUGAAGUAGCCCUACACUUUGUCAAGGACGAGAGGACCCGAUUCAACCUAGCCCUGGAAAGCGGUAACAUCCAGGUUGCUGUUGCGUCAGCCAAGGAGAUCGAUGAUAAAGAUCACUGGUACAAGUUGGGUGUCGAAGCCCUUCGACAGGGGAAUGCUUGCAUCGUUGAAUAUGCAUACCAGAGGACUAAAAAUUUUGACAGGCUCUCUUUUCUCUAUCUAGUAGCAGGCAACAUGGACAAGCUAUCUAAGAUGAUGAGGAUUGCCGAAUUAAAAAGUGAUGUUAUGGGUCAGUUUCAUAAUGCUCUCUAUCUAGGUGAUAUUCAGGAACGAGUCAAGAUCUUGGAAAACUCGGGCCAUCUCCCUCUGGCUUAUGUUACUGCUUACAUUCAUGGGCUCACCGAAGUUGCAGAAAGGCUAGCAGCUGAAUUGGGAGGCAAUGUCCCUUCCAUCCCAUCUAGUAUUAAAUCGUCACUUCUUAUUCCUCCUGCACCCAUUAUGUGCGGUGGAGAUUGGCCGUUACUGAGGGUCACAAUGGGCAUUUUUGAAGGUGGGUUAGAGAACAGGGGCAAAACGGCUCAUGAAGGAGAGGAGGAAGCUGCUGAUGCAAACUGGGGUGAGGACUUGGAGAUAAUAGAAAUGGAGGGGCCGAAUGGGGACCUAGAAAUUAUUGGAGAUGAGGAAGUGAUAGAAGAUGGCGAUGGUGAAGAAGGGGGGUGGGAUCUUGAGGAUCUUGAACUUCCUCCUGAGCUUGCUGCUGCUGCAAAUAUUGCAGGAAUAAGGCUUUCGAAUUCAUCCUUUGUGGCACCAACACCGGGCAUGCCUGUGAGUCAAAUUUGGACUCAAAAAUCCUCUCUUGCUGGUGAGCACGCAGCUGCUGGAAAUUUUGAUACAGCUAUGCGUUUACUUAGCCGGCAAUUGGGCAUUCGAAACUUUGCUCCUUUGAAACCAUUGUUCAUGGAUCUCUACUUGGGGAGCCAUGCUUAUCUUCGUGGAUUCCCAUCUGCCCCACUUGUGCCUUUAGCUGUAGAGAGAGGUUGGAAUGAACAGGGUAGCGCUAAUGUGAGAGGGCCUCCUGCCAUGGUAUCAAAGCUGUCUUUUCUAGAAGAGAGGCUUAAGCUUGCAUAUAAGGCCACUACCGAGGGCAAGUUUGCUGAGGCCUUGAAGCUCUUUCUUAACAUUUUGCACUUGAUUCCAAUCAUAGUGGUUGAUUCGAGAAGAGAGGUUGAUGAGGUGAAAGAGUUGGUAGUCAUUGCAAAAGAGUAUGUGUUGGCCCUUCAAAUGGAGGUCAAGAGGAAGGAGCUGAAGGAUGACCCUGUUCGGCAGCAAGAGCUUGCUGCUUACUUCACUCAUUGUAAUCUUCAAAAGGUCCACUUGCGGCUUGCACUGAUGAAUGCUAUGGGUGUUUGCUUCAAGGGCAACAAUUAUAAUACAGCUGCAAAUUUCGCAAGGAGGCUUUUGGAGACGGAUCCGCCCUCUAACCAGGCCUCAAAGGCUCGUCAAGUCCUUCAAAUCUGUGAGAGAAACCCUAAAGAUGCAAGUCAGCUCAAUUAUGACUUCCGAAACCCAUUUAUUCUCUGUGGAUUGACUUUUGUUCCCAUAUAUCAUGGACAGAAGAGUGUCUUGUGCCCUUACUGCACAGCGAAAUUUGUGCCUGGCAUUGAAGGGCAGAUUUGCACGGUGUGCAACCUUGCUGUUAUUGGGUUGGAUGCUUCAGGAAUCGGGCUUGGGCUCGUUCAAUUAGGUGUUGUUCAUGAUUGUACCACUACAUCCCAAGUUCCGAUUCCCACUGCAGAACUACCCAAUGGAAUUGGGUGAUUUUUGGAGGGCUUUUCCUCACGAGUUUUGCGGUUACCACUACCUUUACUCGGCAUACACAGCUUGACUGGAGAUUGAAAGAGGUAUGCCUUUCACCUUGGCUUCUAUCGCAAAAAUGAUGACUUCACAAAAUAUACCGGAUCUCUUUGGUGAGAAUGUUACUUUUGAUCAAACACCACGUGUUAGAUUUUAUUUUUUGACUGUUUUUAUUCAUUGGCUUGCAUCACCUUUUAAAGUUUGCAAUACACUCUGACGUAAUUUUUAUUUUUUAGUACUUAACUUUUUGUAAAGAUAGCUUUUUUGCCAGAUUCUUGGACAAGAGUUUUCGAAUUCUUCAGACUUCCCUGAAGUUGCUUGAGGUCAUACACAGCUCUCUCUAGGUUUCCCUAGACGUCUCGAUGAAAAAUGAUCAAGAUUUAAUUUUGGAGAAGAUGUAGUUUCCUUAAUUUUUUAAUUUUUGGAAGAUGUAUUUUCCUUU